RNAcentral lists this ribosomal RNA (199 nucleotides) under uncultured bacterium. RNAcentral's name for it is "partial 16S ribosomal RNA". It matches the Rfam family "Bacterial small subunit ribosomal RNA", at positions 575 to 773 of the family's 1533-position model. The record is from RNAcentral.
GCGGUCUUUUAAGUCUUAAGUUAAAGCCUUCGGCCUAACCUGAGUUGUGCAUUGGAAACUGGGAGACUUGAGUGCAGAAGAGGAGAGUGGAACUCCAUGUGUAGCGGUGAAAUGCGUAGAUAUAUGGAAGAACACCAGUGGCGAAAGCGGCUCUCUGGUCUGUAACUGACGCUGAGGUUCGAAAGCGUGGGUAGCAAAC